This 636-nucleotide ribosomal RNA is filed under the name Microbacteriaceae bacterium Se1Ps_2045. Its description in RNAcentral is "bacterial SSU rRNA". It matches the Rfam family "Bacterial small subunit ribosomal RNA", at positions 381 to 1030 of the family's 1533-position model. Lineage: Bacteria; Bacillati; Actinomycetota; Actinomycetes; Micrococcales; Microbacteriaceae. The record is from RNAcentral.
GCCUGAUGCAGCAACGCCGCGUGAGGGACGAAGGCCUUCGGGUUGUAAACCUCUUUUAGUAGGGAAGAAGCGAAAGUGACGGUACCUGCAGAAAAAGCACCGGCUAACUACGUGCCAGCAGCCGCGGUAAUACGUAGGGUGCAAGCGUUGUCCGGAAUUAUUGGGCGUAAAGAGCUCGUAGGCGGUUUGUCGCGUCUGCUGUGAAAACUGGAGGCUCAACCUCCAGCCUGCAGUGGGUACGGGCAGACUAGAGUGCGGUAGGGGAGAUUGGAAUUCCUGGUGUAGCGGUGGAAUGCGCAGAUAUCAGGAGGAACACCGAUGGCGAAGGCAGAUCUCUGGGCCGUAACUGACGCUGAGGAGCGAAAGCAUGGGGAGCGAACAGGAUUAGAUACCCUGGUAGUCCAUGCCGUAAACGUUGGGAACUAGAUGUAGGGGCCAUUCCACGGUUUCUGUGUCGCAGCUAACGCAUUAAGUUCCCCGCCUGGGGAGUACGGCCGCAAGGCUAAAACUCAAAGGAAUUGACGGGGGCCCGCACAAGCGGCGGAGCAUGCGGAUUAAUUCGAUGCAACGCGAAGAACCUUACCAAGGCUUGACAUAUACCGGAAACGGCUAGAGAUAGUCGCCCCGCAAGGUCGG